UACGUAGGGUGCAAGCGUUAAUCGGAAUUACUGGGCGUAAAGCGUGCGCAGGCGGUUUGUUAAGACAGAUGUGAAAUCCCCGGGCUUAACCUGGGAACUGCAUUUGUGACUGCACGGCUGGAGUGCGGCAGAGGGGGAUGGAAUUCCGCGUGUAGCAGUGAAAUGCGUAGAUAUGCGGAGGAACACCGAUGGCGAAGGCAAUCCCCUGGGCCUGCACUGACGCUCAUGCACGAAAGCGUGGGGAGCAAACAGG
Molecule: ribosomal RNA, 253 nt
Filed under: uncultured bacterium
Lineage: Bacteria
Description: partial 16S ribosomal RNA
Rfam family: Bacterial small subunit ribosomal RNA
Source: RNAcentral